ACAGUGGACGCGAGCAUCUGUGGCCAAGUUUUUAAGGGCGCACGGUGGAUGCCUUGGUACCAGGAACCGAUGAAGGACGUGGGAGGCCGCGAUAGGCCCCGGGGAGCUGUCAACCGAGCUUUGAUCCGGGGGUGUCCGAAUGGGGAAACCCGGCAGUCGUCAUGGGCUGUCACCCAUACCUGAACACAUAGGGUAUGUGGAGGGAACGCGGGGAAGUGAAACAUCUCAGUACCCGCAGGAAGAGAAAACAACCGUGAUUCCGGGAGUAGUGGCGAGCGAAACCGGAUGAGGCCAAACCGUAGGCGUGUGAUACCCGGCAGGGGUUGCGCUUACGGGGUUGUGGGA
Molecule: ribosomal RNA, 345 nt
Filed under: Streptomyces fradiae
Lineage: Bacteria; Bacillati; Actinomycetota; Actinomycetes; Kitasatosporales; Streptomycetaceae
Also listed under: 1 other name
Description: bacterial LSU rRNA
Rfam family: Bacterial large subunit ribosomal RNA
Source: RNAcentral